This 163-nucleotide ribosomal RNA is filed under the name uncultured Chlamydiales bacterium. RNAcentral's name for it is "partial 16S ribosomal RNA". It matches the Rfam family "Bacterial small subunit ribosomal RNA", at positions 347 to 504 of the family's 1533-position model. Lineage: Bacteria; Pseudomonadati; Chlamydiota; Chlamydiia; Chlamydiales. The record is from RNAcentral.
AGCUGCAGUCGAGAUCUUUCGCAAUGGGCGAAGCCCGACGAAGCGACGCCGUGUGAGCGAAGAAGGCCUUCGGGUUGUAAAGCUCUUUCGCCAGGGAACAAGAAAUGGUAGUGAAUAACUACCAAAUUUGAGGGUACUUGGUAAAGAAGCACCGGCUAACUCC